UGUCACCCACCCUGUUAGCUUCAAGUUCCUCAGUGAAAACAGUCUACACAUUCCCAGAUGAAAGCCUGUUGUCAUGGAGUCCAAAGUUCCACCAUUUGGAUUCCAUUCUUUAUGACUGGAUGAAAGUAGUGUUCCCUCCUUCAUAAGUGCAAGCGCCCCUGCAUCGUGACCAGGGCUGCAUUGGCACCAGGCUCCUAUCAGCCGUCACUGCAUUACUCUACCAGAUGACAAGAAUUCGGGGCAAUAACGUGGGAGGAGCCACCAGGCAGAGUUCUAUUGAGAUAUAAUUGACAUGCAUCCCUGGAUAAGUAUAAUGGUUUGACUUUCCUCUAUCGUGAAUCUUGUUCUCCUUUGCAAAAAUUCAUAUGGAUACUUAGCAUGAAAAAUUAAGACAAUGAGCCAAAAGAUACCCCUAGAUACUUUUUCGGGAUAUGAAAUCUCGAAUAAAUUUCAUCUGGAGUUUUCAGGAAGCUGGGACGACUAG
RNAcentral lists this long non-coding RNA (484 nucleotides) under Felis catus (domestic cat). RNAcentral describes it as "lncRNA (ENSFCAG00000050612.1)". The record is from RNAcentral. Lineage: Eukaryota; Metazoa; Chordata; Mammalia; Carnivora; Felidae.